This is a long non-coding RNA of Amphibalanus amphitrite, 471 nucleotides long. RefSeq lists it as uncharacterized. NCBI's taxonomy places the organism in Eukaryota, Metazoa, Arthropoda, Thecostraca, Balanomorpha, Balanidae. The record is from RefSeq and is a predicted model, not a curated record. The transcript is spliced from 3 exons.
UUAUUAUUUUGCGAAUAGACGCCGUCGCCACCAAUGCACCACUACCGGUCCGCCAUUUCCGCCAUUUUUCAUUGAGGAUCAGCGUAGCGGGCGGAGCACGCGAACUUCGUUAGGGAAGGUUGGGUUUAAUAGUGCUAUAUAUACCGUGGGUUGAAGCUUGGUUGUAUUUAGACAAGGUGGAGCAACUCAGCGCGUGUUGCACCAUGGCCCGAUCGGACCUGGAGCGGAACGUCCGUUCUGUAAUGCGCGGCACUGUGUCGGCCGAUCUGUCCGAGCACCUUUCCCUGAAAGGGAAGAAUGGGAAGAGGGCUAUAGCGGAAACCGUCCUCUUCGACGUUAUCUGCGAGACACUGAGACGCUGCGGUGGCGCCAACCGAGACGCCGUCGGGAGGUGCGUGGGCCUCUGGCUCUCCGGCAGCCGGGAUCGGAACGGCAAACGUCUCCGAAGGCUUUCAAAAACCAAGGAGGCAG